UGCAGGAACGUCAUUUCCUUGUUACCGGAAGCACAGGGCACAGCCGCACUCGGGUAGAGACUGUGCUGCAUUGUCGCCAGGGUUUUCAGGUAGAGAUGUAGUCUAACGAGUGGUAACUAUCUAAAAGCAUGGAAGACCUGACUGACUUCUUGAGACGAAGAGAAGUCUCUGAGGAAAUAAUACAAACCCUGGAGAAUGAGAAGUGAAUUAUUUUUCCCUCUGUAGAUCGAUGCCAGUGUUAUAAAUCUGAUGUCAGAUGAGGAGCUGAAGACUUAUCUACCAUCAUAUGGUGAUCGCCUUGCAGUAUUUGGAUUUUGCAGACGGCAGGGCAACAGCCGAAAGUCGACGCUUUUUGAACGUCUGAAAACCAAAUUGUCCAAAAGAAAAACAUCUGAAGAUGGCAGCAGCACAGCGCAAGAACAUUCAGAACCAACCCAUAAAAGAAAUGCUCUGAAGACAAAGAGAAAAAUAGAAAUAGGAUGGAUGCAUUAUGAUGAAGAUGCUGAUGUUUUCAAGCAGGUUAGAGCUAGACGAGGAGGAGGGACAAGAAAAAUGGUAAUUUGCAAGGACGCUAAGAAAAGUGACAUAUUACAGGUUGCAAAAGAUCUGUUCUUUCCAAAUGGAGGAAAUGUUCGGGGGGCCCUUAACAGAUUUUGAAUGUGAUCUAAAGGAUUAUCAAGAGAUGACAGUUGAUGGUGGAUUAACAGUUGGAGAAAUGUACAAUGUUACAAAACUAAAUAUCCUUAGGUUUUACCUGACCACAAAAAAAACCCAAAGCAGCCCAGGUUUGCAAUCAUCUUCUCAAGACCAAAACUCCUCUUCUUUUACUGUU
Molecule: long non-coding RNA, 832 nt
Organism: Archocentrus centrarchus (flier cichlid)
Lineage: Eukaryota; Metazoa; Chordata; Actinopteri; Cichliformes; Cichlidae
Exons: 3
Source: RefSeq, a predicted model, not a curated record